RNAcentral lists this ribosomal RNA (478 nucleotides) under Perinereis ponteni. Its description in RNAcentral is "partial large subunit ribosomal RNA". It matches the Rfam family "Bacterial large subunit ribosomal RNA", at positions 1831 to 2603 of the family's 2925-position model. The record is from RNAcentral. Lineage: Eukaryota; Metazoa; Annelida; Polychaeta; Phyllodocida; Nereididae.
CGCCUACUGAACAUAUAGUAGGUCUAUCCUGCCCAGUGAAACUCAUUCAACGGCCGCGGUAUCCUGACCGUGCAAAGGUAGCAUAAUCAUUUGCCUUUUAAUUGAAGGCUAGUAUGAACGGACACACAAGAAUAUCCCUGUCUCAUUUGGAUUAUAUUUAAACUGAUCUUCAGGUGAAGAAGCCUGAAUAUAAAUAAAGGACAAGAAGACCCUAUAGAGCUUUAUUAACAAUAGCUAUUAAACUAUAUUGUUAAUUUGGUUGGGACAACCAAAAGACACAUAAACCUCUUUUAAUCAACUUUAUUACCCACACCCACCUAUGAAAUAGAAUUUCAAGCUACCUUAGGGAUAACAGGCUAAUCCUAUUAGAGAGACCACAUUGACAAUGGGGAUUGGCACCUCGAUGUUGGCUUAGUGUUACCGUUAGGCGCAGCCGCUUAACUGAGUUGGUUUGUUCAACCAUUAAAACGCUACGUGA